CAGGGCAAAAUUGUUGAAAAGCAAUGACGCAAAGCUACAGGGCCUUUAACAUGGCAGCCAGCUGCA
RNAcentral lists this non-coding RNA (66 nucleotides) under uncultured Dialister sp. RNAcentral describes it as "Cyclic di-GMP-I riboswitch". It matches the Rfam family "c-di-GMP-I riboswitch aptamer", at positions 9 to 84 of the family's 87-position model. From Rfam's summary of the family: GEMM was predicted in a large-scale screen for bacterial structured RNA regulatory elements. Genes associated with GEMM are involved in a diverse array of functions, including chemotaxis regulation, signal transduction, secretion and chitin. Lineage: Bacteria; Bacillati; Bacillota; Negativicutes; Veillonellales; Veillonellaceae. The record is from RNAcentral.